GGUGGUAUAGCUCAGUGGUAGAUCACUUGCCUAGCAUGUGCAAGGCCCUGGGUUCAAUCCCCAGCACCCCA
Molecule: transfer RNA, 71 nt
Filed under: Marmota monax (woodchuck)
Lineage: Eukaryota; Metazoa; Chordata; Mammalia; Rodentia; Sciuridae
Description: tRNA.Ala
Source: RNAcentral